Molecule: small RNA, 18 nt
Filed under: Arabidopsis thaliana (thale cress)
Lineage: Eukaryota; Viridiplantae; Streptophyta; Magnoliopsida; Brassicales; Brassicaceae
Source: RNAcentral
GAAGAAAUCUCUAUGCCC